UGAGGAAUAUUGGUCAAUGGGCGCAAGCCUGAACCAGCGACGCCGCGUGGGUGACGAAGGUUUUCGGAUCGUAAAACCCUUUUCUGCGUGACGAGGCAGGACGGUAGCGCAGGAAUAAGUCUCGGCUAACUACGUGCCAGCAGCCGCGGUAAAACGUAGGAGACAAGCGUUAUCCGGAGUUACUGGGCGUAAAGGGCGUGCAGGCGGCCUGUUAAGUCUGUUGUGAAAGCACCCGGCUAAACUGGGUGAGGUCAAUGGAUACUGGCGGGCUAGAGGGCGGUAGAGGCGUGUGGAAUUCCGGGUGUAGUGGUGAAAUGCGUAGAUAUCCGGAGGAACACCAGUGGCGAAGGCGACACGCUGGGCCGCACCUGACGCUAAGACGCGACAGCAUGGGGAGCGA
RNAcentral lists this ribosomal RNA (400 nucleotides) under uncultured bacterium. RNAcentral describes it as "bacterial SSU rRNA". It matches the Rfam family "Bacterial small subunit ribosomal RNA", at positions 355 to 771 of the family's 1533-position model. The record is from RNAcentral.